RNAcentral lists this unclassified non-coding RNA (381 nucleotides) under uncultured Oligoflexales bacterium. RNAcentral's name for it is "contains 16S-23S intergenic spacer region". Lineage: Bacteria; Pseudomonadati; Bdellovibrionota; Oligoflexia; Oligoflexales. The record is from RNAcentral.
UCCGAGUUGACCCCGGCAGUAUCCCAUGAGUUCCCACCAUUACGUGCUGGCAACAUAGGACGAGGGUUGCGCUCGUUGCGGGACUUAACCCAACAUGUCACCACACGAGCUGACAACAGCCAUGCAGCACCUGUCUCCCGGCUGUAUUGCUACAGAAGACGUAUUUCUGCGUUUGUCCGGGGAUGUCAAACCCAGGUAAGGUUUUGCGCGUUGCUUCGAAUUAAACCACAUGAUCCACCGCUUGUGCGGGCCCCCGUCAAUUCCUUUGAGUUUUAGUCUUGCGACCGUACUUCCCAGGCGGGGUACUUAUUGCGUUAGCUCCGGCUCUGCAGGGGUCUAUUCCCACAAAGCCUAGUACCCAUCGUUUACAGCGUGGACUAC